RNAcentral lists this ribosomal RNA (472 nucleotides) under uncultured bacterium. Its description in RNAcentral is "partial 16S ribosomal RNA". It matches the Rfam family "Bacterial small subunit ribosomal RNA", at positions 28 to 507 of the family's 1533-position model. The record is from RNAcentral.
GACGAACGCUGGCGGCGUGCUUAACACAUGCAAGUCGAACGCUGAAGCUUGGUGCUUGCCCUGGGUGGAUGAGUGGCGAACGGGUGAGUAAUACGUGAGUAACCUGCCCUUGACUCUGGGAUAAGCCUGGGAAACUGGGUCUAAUACUGGAUACGACAUGCCACUGCAUGGUGGUGUGUGGAAAGGGUUUUACUGGUUUUGGAUGGGCUCACGGCCUAUCAGCUUGUUGGUGGGGUAAUGGCCUACCAAGGCGACGACGGGUAGCCGGCCUGAGAGGGUGACCGGCCACACUGGGACUGCGACAGGGACCAGACUCGUACGGGAGGCAACAGUGGGGAAUAUUGCACAAUGGGCGGAAGCCUGAUGCAGCGACGCCGCGUGAGGGAUGACGGCCUUCGGGUUGUAAACCUCUUUCAGCAGGGAAGAAGCGAGAGUGACGGUACGUGCAGAAGAAGCGCCGGCUAACUACGUG